AUUGAACGCUGGCGGCAGGCCUAACACAUGCAAGUCGAGCGAGCGGCGGCCGGGUGAGUAAUGUCUGGGAAACUGCCUGAUGGAGGGGGAUAACUACUGGAAACGGUAGCUAAUACCGCAUACCAUCAGAUGUGCCCAGAUGGGAUUAGCUAGUAGGUGGGGUAAGGGCUCACCCAGGCGACGCUCCCUAGCUGGUCUGAGAGGAUGACCAGCCAACCUGGAACUGAGACACGGUCCAGACUCCUACGGGAGGCAGCAGUGGGGAAGAUUGCACAAUGGGCGCAAGCCGGAUGCAGCCAUGCCGCGUGUGUGAAGAAGGCCUUCGGGUUGUAAAGCACUUUCAGCGAGGAGGCGUUACUCGCAGAAGAAGCACCGGCUAACUCCGUGCCAGCAGCCGCGGUAAUAC
RNAcentral lists this ribosomal RNA (406 nucleotides) under uncultured bacterium. RNAcentral's name for it is "partial 16S ribosomal RNA". It matches the Rfam family "Bacterial small subunit ribosomal RNA", at positions 29 to 526 of the family's 1533-position model. The record is from RNAcentral.